Non-coding RNA from Sesamum indicum (sesame), 294 nucleotides. Lineage: Eukaryota; Viridiplantae; Streptophyta; Magnoliopsida; Lamiales; Pedaliaceae. The record is from RefSeq and is a predicted model, not a curated record.
AAAAAAAAAAAAAAAAAAAAAAAAAAAAAAAAAAAAAAAACUCCAGCAAGAAACAAGAAGUGAAGGGAAGGAAGGUCGUAUUUGCAUAUGCGGAAACUGAGGGUGAAUGUUUGUGCAAGGAAAAAAGUGAUAAAAAGAGAAAUGAAAGAGGUAUUACAAAUGAUUUUGUUUAUGAAAUGUGCAGAGAGAAAAGGGGUGGGUUGGGUGAGCACUGUGUAGAGAGAGAAAUUGGAUGGAAGAUAUUCAACGAGUAGGGGGAGGUGGAAGGGGGCAGCCACGUCGUUGCGCCGUCAC